This 237-nucleotide ribosomal RNA is filed under the name uncultured bacterium. RNAcentral's name for it is "partial 16S ribosomal RNA". It matches the Rfam family "Bacterial small subunit ribosomal RNA", at positions 524 to 760 of the family's 1533-position model. The record is from RNAcentral.
UACGUAGGGUGCGAGCGUUGUCCGGAAUUAUUGGGCGUAAAGGGCUCGUAGGCGGUUUGUCGCGUCGGGAGUGAAAACCUCGGGCUUAACUCGGGGCUUGCUUUCGAUACGGGCAGACUAGAGGUAUGCAGUGGAGAACGGAAUUCCUGGUGUAGCGGUGAAAUGCGCAGAUAUCAGGAGGAACACCGGUGGCGAAGGCGGUUCUCUGGGCAUGAUCUGACGCUGAGGAGCGAAAGU